GUGAAGAGUGAGGAGGGGGAGUGUGGGGGUUUUUUUUUUUUUUGAACAAAAACAAACCGAAAGGGCGACUGGGAGUCGUAGUCCCGGCUGCCUCUCUGGCCUCCCCCGCUCCGGAAGAAUAUGGCUGAAUGAAACUCUUGGACCACACUUCCCAGCGUGCCCCGCGGCCCGUCUUUUCCGCCCUCCCCUCCCUUCCUCUGCCCCGCGCAGAGCUCGAUCACAGGCUCUGGGAGGCCAGGCACCCUGUCGUGAGGACACUCAAGCAGCCAUAUGGAGAGGUGACAUCUACACGGCCAGUAGCCCCAGACAAGCUUUCAAAUGACUUCAGCCCUGGCUAACAUCUUGAGAGAUCAACCUCAUAAGAGAACCAGAGCCAGAAUCACCCAAAUAUGCUGCUCCUGGGAACUGUCUCCACACAAGCUCUAGGGGAGCAGGGAUUUUUUUCCUGUUGUGUUCAAAACAGUACUUACUACUGAAUACGUUACUGAAUCCUCCACAGAGCUCCACAAGAAUGGGCCAGCCCUGGGAGCAGGAGCUUCAUCCUGGACCCCAAGGACUAGAGCGAUGCCCACAACAUAGUAGGUACUCAAAAAAAUGAAGAAAGGAAUCUGGUGCUAAAGCCCUGGCUCUUCUCACUGCCCCAGGACAACCAAGCAAAGACAGAUCCCUGCGUUGAACACACCCCUCACGGAAAUCUGCGCCCCCCCGCCCCCAAGCACGCUCUGAGCACCAGAUCUGAGCCACUGAUCACUUUGAAUUGUACAUAUUUGUGAAUGACGAUACCUCCCUACCAGAAUGGGAGCUCCGGAAGCCGUGAGCCAUAUGUAGCCCAUGACAUGUGGCACAGAGUUUGAAUAGCAUUAUGUAAAUCUUUUGU
Long non-coding RNA from Mesoplodon densirostris (Blainville's beaked whale), 877 nucleotides. RefSeq lists it as uncharacterized. The transcript has 4 exons. NCBI's taxonomy places the organism in Eukaryota, Metazoa, Chordata, Mammalia, Artiodactyla, Ziphiidae. The record is from RefSeq and is a predicted model, not a curated record.